RNAcentral lists this transfer RNA (74 nucleotides) under Minisyncoccota bacterium. RNAcentral describes it as "tRNA-Cys". It matches the Rfam family "tRNA". From Rfam's summary of the family: Transfer RNA (tRNA) molecules are approximately 80 nucleotides in length. Their secondary structure includes four short double-helical elements and three loops (D, anti-codon, and T loops). The record is from RNAcentral. Lineage: Bacteria; Bacillati; Minisyncoccota.
GGCGCAGUCGCCAAGUGGUAAGGCAAGGGUCUGCAAAACCCUUAUCGGGGGUUCGAUUCCCCCCUGCGCCUCCA